GACGAACGCUGGCGGCGUGGAUAAGACAUGCAAGUCGAACGGGAUUUUUUCCUGUAGCAAUACAGGAAAAAGUCUAGUGGCGAACGGGUGCGUAACACGUGAGCAACCUGCCGUGAAGUGGGGGAUAGCUCGCCGAAAGGCGAAUUAAUACCGCAUGUGGCCAAGGAAGACAUCUUCCUGACGUCAACGCCGGGGCAACCUGGCGCUCCUCGAGGGGCUCGCGGCCUAUCAGCUUGUUGGUGAGGUAACGGCUCACCAAGGCUAUGACGGGUAGCUGGUCUGAGAGGACGACCAGCCACACUGGAACUGAGACACGGUCCAGACACCUACGGGUGGCAGCAGUCGAGAAUUUUUCACAGUGGGGGAAACCCUGAUGGAGCGACGCCGCGUGGAGGAUGAAGGUUUUCGGAUUGUAAACUCCUGUCAUUAGAGAACAAGGCGCACGGUUUAACUGGCCGUGUGUUGAUAGUAUCUGAAGAGGAAGAGACGGCUAACUCUGUGCCAGCAGCCGCAGUAA
This 517-nucleotide ribosomal RNA is filed under the name uncultured bacterium. RNAcentral's name for it is "partial 16S ribosomal RNA". It matches the Rfam family "Bacterial small subunit ribosomal RNA", at positions 28 to 523 of the family's 1533-position model. The record is from RNAcentral.